This 704-nucleotide long non-coding RNA is filed under the name Homo sapiens (human). RNAcentral's name for it is "non-protein coding CLYBL-AS1:1". The record is from RNAcentral. Lineage: Eukaryota; Metazoa; Chordata; Mammalia; Primates; Hominidae.
AAUUAUGAGGAAAGAAGCUCUCAGCAUUCCAAAGCAGAAGGAACAACUGUCUUGAAUAUGUCGAAAAUUGCUGUCUUUAAGAUGAAGCACCCAGAGGACCACAAUCCUCGGAUUUUAUGAGAAGACCUUCUGCCCUGCCUGCCCUUUUGAGACCUUUAUCUGAAAAGGAACCUGCAAUCCUAGAAAAGAGGUGGAGGCAGGCUUGAUUCAGUUAAGGAAGUUCUUUCUUCUCAGCAAUUACCACGCCAAUUCUGUGGAAAAGCAACAUUUGGAAGACGAGAGAAAUCCACUGUAGGAAGUAUUAGAAAUACCUGCAAUUAGGCUUCAAACAAGCAAAUGAGGGCAGGAAAAGUAAAUGACGACAGCCUGUGUCCUCUCCAUGACACCACUCUGCCUCCAUGGAACCACUCUGCCCCCAUGGAUCUCUCCAGUUUUAAGUCUGGGGAAAUCUAUCAAUCACACAAUUUCAGUUAGCAUUCCAAGAACUAGGGGAAGGCCCGAGUAAUCUAUUCAAAGACAUGCUUCAGAAAGAACACACCGACCCCAUGGAGAGUUAAACCUGAUUACCAAGAAGCAGGAUAGUUAGGUGUUUCCGCUAUUUACAUAAUCAUUGUAAAUAUAAGUUACAGACUAAUUACAAUGAUAAUUAUGACAAUGAGCCUGGCAUGGAGGAAGAGUUUAAUAAAUAAUAUUUGAUGAAUGAA